UGGUAGUCCACGCUGUAAACGAUGUCGAUUUAGAGGUUGUGGUCUUGAACCGUGGCUUCUGGAGCUAACGCGUUAAAUCGACCGCCUGGGGAGUACGGCCGCAAGGUUAAAACUCAAAUGAAUUGACGGGGGCCCGCACAAGCGGUGGAGCAUGUGGUUUAAUUCGAUGCAACGCGAAGAACCUUACCUACUCUUGACAUCCAGCGAAUCCUUUAGAGAUAGAGGAGUGCCUUCGGGAACGCUGAGACAGGUGCUGCAUGGCUGUCGUCAGCUCGUGUUGUGAAAUGUUGGGUUAAGUCCCGCAACGAGCGCAACCCUUAUCCUUUGUUGCCAGCACGUAAUGGUGGGAACUCAAAGGAGACUGCCGGUGAUAAACCGGAGGAAGGUGGGGAUGACGUCAAGUCAUCAUGGCCCUUACGAGUAGGGCUACACACGUGCUACAAUGGCAGAUACAAAGAGAAGCGACCUCGCGAGAGCAAGCGGAACUCAUAAAGUCUGUCGUAGUCCGGAUUGGAGUCUGCAACUCGACUCCAUGAAGUCGGAAUCGCUAGUAAUCGUAGAUCAGAAUGCUACGGUGAAUACGUUCCCGGGCCUUGUACACACCGCCCGUCACACCAUGGGAGUGGGUUGCAAAAGAAGUAGGUAGCUUAACCUUCGGGAGGGCGCUUACCACUUUGUGAUUCAUGACUGGGGUGAAGUCGUAA
This 704-nucleotide ribosomal RNA is filed under the name uncultured bacterium. RNAcentral describes it as "bacterial SSU rRNA". It matches the Rfam family "Bacterial small subunit ribosomal RNA", at positions 788 to 1491 of the family's 1533-position model. The record is from RNAcentral.